Non-coding RNA from Xenopus tropicalis (tropical clawed frog), 86 nucleotides. The record is from Rfam. Lineage: Eukaryota; Metazoa; Chordata; Amphibia; Anura; Pipidae.
GGUCGGGUAGCCUAGUGGUAAGGGCAUCGGACUUGAAGCGGCCUGCGGACCCGCUAAGACAUAGGUUCGAUUCCCGGCCCCGACCC